UACAGAGGUGGCAAGCGUUGUUCGGAAUUACUGGGCGUAAGGGCGCGUAGGCGGCCCUCUAAGUCCCGUGUGAAAGCCCCCGGCUCAACCGGGGAACUGCACGGGAAACUGGAGGGCUUGAGUUCGGGAGAGGGAAGCGGAAUUCCGGGUGUAGCGGUGAAAUGCGUAGAUAUCCGGAGGAACACCGGUGGCGAAGGCGGCUUCCUGGACCGACACUGACGCUGAUGCGCGAAAGCUAGGGGAGCAAACGGG
RNAcentral lists this ribosomal RNA (252 nucleotides) under uncultured prokaryote. Its description in RNAcentral is "partial 16S ribosomal RNA". It matches the Rfam family "Bacterial small subunit ribosomal RNA", at positions 524 to 776 of the family's 1533-position model. The record is from RNAcentral.